Molecule: ribosomal RNA, 254 nt
Filed under: uncultured bacterium
Lineage: Bacteria
Description: partial 16S ribosomal RNA
Rfam family: Bacterial small subunit ribosomal RNA
Source: RNAcentral
UACGUAGGGUGCGAGCGUUGUCCGGAAUUAUUGGGCGUAAAGGGCUUGUAGGCGGUUUGUCGCGUCUGCUGUGAAAAUUCGGGGCUUAACUCCGGGCGUGCAGGCGAUACGGGCAUAACUUGAGUACUGUAGGGGAGACUGGAAUUCCUGGUGUAGCGGUGAAAUGCGCAGAUAUCAGGAGGAACACCGGUGGCGAAGGCGGGUCUCUGGGCAGUAACUGACGCUGAGGAGCGAAAGCAUGGGGAGCGAACAGG